RNA transcript from Tyto alba (common barn owl), 7669 nucleotides. It is a transcript of the gene named synaptotagmin-like protein 2, with no coding region annotated. NCBI's taxonomy places the organism in Eukaryota, Metazoa, Chordata, Aves, Strigiformes, Tytonidae. The transcript has 18 exons. The record is from RefSeq and is a predicted model, not a curated record.
AGGAAGAUUGCAGAGAAGAUGUUGGACUUGAGCUUCCUGACCGAGGAGGAGUAUGAGAAGCUGAUGAAGGUUCUGCAGAGAGAUGCAGAGCUGAAGAAGAAGGAUGGGGAUCGGAUCAGGCGGAUACAAGGCUCCAUCAAGGAUGAAAAGAAGAAGAAGUUUGUGACAGGUGAAUGGUUUUCAGAAGUGAAGGCAAAACGGUUUCAGGAAGACUUAGAGGGGCCAGAUCUACUUCGGGCAUCGAUUAGAAGGAAAAAGGGCAAACUAGAAAAUGAGGCCAACGAGCACAUCUGGGCAGGUCUGGAAAGCAAAGCUGCCCCGAGCCCUGCCUUCCCUGAGCAUGCUGCUGGCACGGGAGAGGAGAGAUCCAGCACGCCUGCUUUUGAUACCGCAGAGGAGCGUAAAAUCUUGCCAAAACCGAAGCCAAGACUUGGUCUCCCACUGUCAGCAUCACACAAGAGAUCCAGUAUACAUGAUGUCUCUUCCUCAGAGAGUGACACUGGAACAAGUCCAUUUGUGGCGGCACCAAACAGCUUGCAUUUGUCUAGAAAAGGUCAUGGACUAUCUCCUUUGCCCACCAAGCUUUCAGAGGAUGCUGUGCCUCAGCCCAGCAGUGCAGCUGGAGGAGAAGCUGUUGAUGGGGCCACUGGCACCACAGUGGGGCCAAAAACUCCACCCGAAGAAACUUAUGCUCCCAGCAAGAUACCAGUUAAGAGGAAACCAAGCAGAACUUUCUCCAGAUCUGAGCAGUUUGUGAAUCACAUGGGGCCGUCAGAGAACAGCCUUGCAAAGAGAGAGCUGCUGGCCAGCCCCAAACCGCUGACCGCAGAGAGGGAAGGCAGCCAGGCUGUGAAGCAAGGCGUGAACUAUACGAUCUCAUCAAUGAGUAACAAAGAGGAGGAUAUCGGCCUCAAUCGUGAACAUUUCAAGAACUUGAAAAACUUCUGGGAGAAGGGAGCGGACUCUGUGCUGGUGGGAAAUGUGCUGGAGGACCCGAGCUGGGUGGAGGCAGACGGUAGGCAGUUCAAGCUGUGCCGCUCACUCUCUGGGCAGCCUGGGCAAGGCCAGAACAGCGAAGAAAAACCUGGUGUCUUCACCAAAACAAGAACCCCCUACAAAAGGACAAUAACCUUGUCUUCUAGCGAGGAAGAACCAAGCUAUGUAGCCCCCGUGAGGAAAGGCUCAGUUUCCAUCAUUCCUAGAUCCACGUAUGCCAAGAGUAAAGGCGGCCUGGCUACAAGAAAUAACUCGCUGAGUGAAAGCAAUGGGAAGCAGCCAGUGCCAGAGGAAGAGAAGGUGGCACAGCACUGCUCCAAGAAAUCCAGAUUGCCUGUGCGAGCGCCUUCCGUCAAAAUCGAGUCGCCUACCAAAGAAGUGUCUGGCAGCACGUUUGAGCCAGAGACGCCUACAGAUGAGUUUAUCGUGGCAGAAGAGCGCAAGCAUGCAGUGAAUUCUCUGGCGAGCAGGGUGCAGAUACUGAUCGAGCCUGUGCUUACAGAUGGUGAAAACGAUGAUGAUAAGGAUGAAAGAUCUGAUUUGGGCACCCAUGACAACAUGGAAAUAAAUAGAGCACUACCUGAGGAAAAAACCUAUGAGUCUUCAGACAAGCCAUCACCCAGUGAAGCAGAUGGAGAGAGAGAAGCUGUUCAGGGAGCGGACUCAGCUGUUUACUCAGAGGAAGAUGGGGAUCAUUCUCCUGCUGCUCAGGCAUUGGCCCGAGCAAAUAGCAUUAAUCUGGCAAAGAGCAUGGUGAACAUUUACACAACCACAGAGACAUACAAUAAACCUCAUUUGAUACCCCAUCAGUUUCUUGAACCGGAAAGAGUCAAAGAGCUGAGCAGAUCCUCUCCUCUCCUGUUGUCUGAGACUGAAUCAGACACGGCUUCGGAAAUCAGCUUCCAGUUUAACAAGCACAAAAAGACGCCUAGCAUUGGCAGCCACUCGUCCGACAUGGCAUCUGUCUCCUCGGUGAGUGGCAGUGUGCUCAGUGUCUACAGCGGUGAUUUUGGGAGUGUGGAUGCCCAAGGUACCGUGGAGUUUGCCCUAGACUAUGAUGAGAAGAACCGGGAGUUCCAGGUUCAUGUGUCCCAGUGCAAGGACUUGGCUGUUGUGGAUGAGAAGAAAGGCAGAUCUGACCCGUAUGUUAAAACUUACCUGCUCCCAGACAAAGCUAGAAUGGGUAAGAGGAAAACUUCAGUGAAGAAGAGGACAGUAAAUCCCAUUUAUAAUGAGGUGUUACGGUAUAAAAUAGAGAAAACGGUGUUGCUGAUCCAAAAAUUAAAUCUCUCUGUUUGGCACAAUGAUCCACUGGGACGUAACAGUUUCUUGGGAGAGAUCGAAGUAGACUUGGCCAGCUGGGACUGGAGCAACAGGAAACUCAACUGGUACCCGCUGAAGCCCCGAAGCCUUUCUGCUGUUAAUGGUGUGGAUCAUCGAGGAGUGAUGAAUUUGUCUAUUAAGUAUGUCCCUCCAGGAAGCCUAGGUCCCAAGAAUCCUCCCUCUGGAGAAGUUCACAUUUGGGUCAAAGACGUCAAGGACCUGCUGCAGUUGCGUCCUUCUGGAGUUGACUCCUUUGUGAAAUGCUAUGUGCUUCCAGACACCAGUAAGAAGAGUUACCAAAAGACCCGAGUCAUUAAAAGAGACACAAACCCUGUUUUCAAUCACACUAUUGUAUAUGAUGGCUUUCAUACAGAGGAUCUAAAGGAUGCUUGUGUUGAACUGACUGUGUGGGAUCAUGAAAAACUUACCAACCAUUUCCUUGGAGGAAUCAGGCUGGGCCUUGGGACAGGUUUGAGCUAUGGCAUCUCUGUGGACUGGAUGGACUCCACGCAAGAGGAGGUGGCCUUUUGGCAGGAGAUGAUGUCAGCUGCCAAUGAAUGGAUUGAAGGAUUGCUGCCACUGCGCUCACUGGCAGGGAGGAAAAAACUGAAAUAACCUACGAUUUGUGCCAUAGAAAGGUUGAACGUGGUCAUUAGAAUUAGGAAACUUCCUGCACCGAUGUGAUAGAGACCAUCCACGGGGCUGGCAUGUGUCAGGUUAAUCAGGCAGUUGAUGGACUGCACUUUGGAAAUGUUAAAUGUUAAGUACUAAUUCCCUGACAGAGGACAUGGAAGAUGCCAAGCUGAUGCUAUACUUUGUUUCGACCAAGAAGAAACUUCAUUUGUCUUUUUAUUUAAUCAUUUAUAUUCAGUAACUGAAUUCCAUUAGCCUCUGGGAGCAUUGGCAGAAGGAAAAGGAGAUAUCUAAUAGAUAUUUUUAUUUUUUUACUGUUUCUUGUGCCAUUUUUUUUUUCCGUGCAGAGAUGUAGUUGUACUAAAGCAGCAGCAUGGUAUUAUUCACAUUCCCCUGCAAGUGGUACACUUUGUACUUGAUGUAGAAUUGCUCCAGCAGCUGUCACCAGCAGCACAGUCUGAGAAUGGGAGCUUUGCAUUUGUCGCUGGUGAUAACGCGUCUCUAACGUGAGGAAAAUUGACAUCCAAGGUGAAUCUACAGAAAGAGAGGACUGUUUGAACCAGGAAAUGAAGCAGCGUGAGGAGAACAGUGAGGAAUUCAAUAUACUAAUUCCGUUCCGAUUUAAUAUGAAAGAGAGAAGUGAUGCUCCUGCAGGUAGUAGGAUUUUGCAGCCAGGGGCUGUUUUCCUAGCUUUCCCACAGGCUUCCUCAGUGACCUCAGGCAAGUUUCUCUAUGAAAGGCCAGUUUCAGUGCAAUAUAAACCACAGCGCUUGCCCGAGUGUGAAAUACGGCUACACUGCUGAUGGGCCUGAUCGCACCUUUGAAAUGCCUUGUGUGCAAAACAUUUCAAUAUGAAACGAUGAUGUAGGAAGGAGUCUCGUGUUAGCCUGGCGCGGCGGGUCGGGAAGGAAAGGCCAGAACCACACUGGAGAUGUUGGGAGCCAGUGGGAGAGCAUGCAGGUACCAGUGACGUGGCGGGACCUGACUGCGGUCACUGAGCUCUUGCUGGAUACAGAAGUGACCCUGGGGGCUGAGCAGGCCUGGGAAAUGGUGUCCCGGUCAUCUGCUGGCACUGUUAAAAUGGAUACCCGGGAGGAGAUGUCCCUCUGAGCGCCGUUGCAGAGGUGGUCAGCAGACAUUGGGAAGCUCACUGCAAAGCACCAUGCAAAAGCAUGUUUGCAAAGACGCUGUAAGGUAUGUGCUACUGGAGCCGUGCUGCUCUCGGCAGCAUCGCUGCUGCACAAGAUCCUACUGACCUGCGGAAAGCUCUUGAAAACAGAAGUCCCUUCCCAUGGGGUCAGCCAGGAGAAGCCACUUUUGCCCAGGGGCUUCACUUUUUGGGAGGCUCCUUGUACGGGUGGCUCUGCCAUGAGAAGCAGCUUUGCCAGCAAGGGUCAGGGUGAAGUUCAUGAGGCCACAGGAGGACUCUGAGUGUGUUUUGGUAUCACAGUACCAUUUCCUGACCUGCUGUGAGCAGGAGAUACCAGAUUCGUAGCAAUGAGGUUUGAGCAAGAGCCGGAAAUGCCAGGAUGGCCCUUCCCAUUUUUGAGGUGUUGGCCAGCUUCUCCCACCCUUCUGAACAUGUUGGUUGGUUGGAGCGUGCUGGGUCAGCUCACAGCAGCACAAAAACUGAGCAUUGGCCUCCAGGAGGCCCAUGGAGAAAUUACUGUUAAAGGCUUGUAGGAGAUCUCUUCUGAAAGAGGGAUGGACUUAGUGGAGAGCUGGGAAGGUGUCCUGCAGGGGCCAUAGAAGAGUUCAGCAGCUCUAGAUCAAGUUCCUUUUGAUUUUGUGUUAAUUUCCCGUUCACUCAGCUGAAAUGCCUCCUGUCAGGUAGUAAAAUCUGAAUGAAGUUGGAUGAAGAUGUCAGCAGGCAGCAGCAUCCUUAGGAGUGGAACAACAUAAAUGGGAGCAGGGUCUGAGCUUGGUCCCACCAGGUUUGUGCCAGCAGACUCUAGUUAGCAUUCCUGUUGGAGAGGGGCUGGUGGUGGUACAGUCAUUUUCCUGCAAGUGACCUGAAAUAGGUGCUCGCGUAAGCAGGCAGAUACUUGCCUUUUAAAAUGCUGUAAAAUCAUAUUAUGGCUGGACCGGUCUCUGGGCCGUGGCAAUCCAACCUCUGUUGUAGACCCAAACUAGCUAAACCAGCCCUGCUUUAAUAAAUCGUUUUAGGAGGAAAGGAAGGAGUCCUGAAUAUGAAGGCAUUUCUGCUGGUCAGUUUUCCUUUCUUUUUCCAGGACUGCAGUCAGUGUUUAGCAAAUCACUUGACAUCCUAUAUUUCACAAAAUGAAAAAUACAGAACACCGCAGACCCACAGUCCUAGCUCCUGCAACACCUUAAAGACCACCCCCCCAAUUAGUCCUCCACAGGCGUUGCAGCUUCUGAUAAAAAGGCAUGUGUUUAGUGGUGUUGAACAGAGCAAAUGCAAGUAUAUUUUGCCUUUUCUCACUCUACAGACCUGCCUGUGCUGCUGCUAAACUUGAGACGCUACCAGUAGGAGCAGAAAUCAGAUUUCAUGCAUCUAACAACCCGUAAUGCCCUCCUGCUAGUUAUUAACAAUCCAAAGUAGCUCUUGAUCUGUAAGCAAGCAGUCUGAGCUCUGGGCUUGGAGGGGAAGCUAGGGAGCCGUUUUCUGACAAAGUAGGUAGCUCAGACACCCACUCUGUAGGAAGAAAAAUCACAAUAACCUCUUUUCCUCUCCUCUCUCUCCCACUCACCAUUACUAAUUUAUCCUGGUUGUAAUGGCUUCUGUUUGCUCUAAGCAGAUCCUGUUCCCUUCCUGGGAAGACUUGAAUAGCUACAAGGACAUAAUAUUCCCAGUGGAGGAUCUGUUCUUGGAUUCAAGCAGACUCAGGCAGAUAUAAUGAUCUCUUGAUGGGAGCCCCUCCUUUUUUGACCGGCCAACCCAUGACCAUUUUAAUGUGAUCAUAAUCUGAAAUAAGACACCGGGAGCUGCAUCUGGAGUAAGCCAUCCCAUGGUAAUGAGCUGACAUUUAAUUUAUUGUCCCAGGGAAACGUUUUGCAAAGGUUUUAUGUCUCUUCAAAAACCCAGCUGACUUGCUCGCAUGUGCGAGCCACUGGGGUGGAGGCUGUGUCUUGUGGGUGCUGUGUGGCACCAGAGGGUGGCCCUGCCACUUGCAGGGGUGCAGGGACAAGGUUAUCCUCUGGGCACGCCCACCCAUGUACGGGAAUUUAACCUCCCCCCAUCCGUUCAGGUUGCAAAGCAAAUGCUAACACUGCCCUGGAGCACUGUUAUUGACUCAGGAGGCUUCUCUGGUUAUUUCUGGAGUUUCUCUGCAUUUGUGUCUCUCCCACAUUCUCCUAUCAGCACAGAUCCUAGCUGGCUUUGCAGCCCCAUCUCUGUGGCGUCAUUAAGCUCCUUGGGAGGAGGCAGAGCCUCCUGCUCAGGGGAUGGGGCAGUUCAAACUGUCUGAGGUCGGGCAGCUGCUUUGUGCUGGGCCUUUUGUUCCUCUAUGGCUAAGGGAGAGAGCAGUGAUGGUGGAGGAUGGCUCAUCCCAUCAAGAUGGGUGGGAUAAAUAACUCUCAAAAUGUUCCUGCCUCUCUCUGAUAGCUACAGGAGGAGCCUGGUAGCCUAGUGGAGGAAAGACAUUUAGGUAAUGUGUUCCUAUAUUAACGGGGGACCAUUAAUGAGACAGCCAGCAUCACUCAGUCAUGACUAUAUUUAUCAAGCCUGUGUCUGCUCUACUGCUUUUGAUUUGAUCCCGGUGUGACACUGGGGGACCAGUGGUACCUCUGCAGGAUGCCACCCCUGGAACCCCAACCAGCGUGCUUGGAGGUGCCUUGGUGUGUAGUACCCCACUGCUCACUAGAAGCAUUUUGCUGACAAGUUGGCAUUUAGGGAGGGAGGUUAGACAGGUUUCCUGGGGACAGAGGCUGCCAGUCUGCCACAGAAGCCCACCACUACAAAAGGCCCUUUAGCCCAGCCAAAAGCCAAGGUGGGACAGAAGCUUCACCAUGUGGCUCCUGGCAUUCGGCCCUGCCUGCGCUUCCCUCCUGCUACUGCUGUUGGAGGCUCUAAGGCUGUCACCUCGUCACAAAGUCCUAAAUUGCACUCCCAGUGCCUGCUGUCAGCUGGGCUGUCAGUUCCGAGCACCGUGUGGCUUUACGCUUGUCUGCACCACCCUGACUAACCGUGGGCAUCAUAUAAAUAAUAAACAUUAAUUCGCUUAAUACCUUCCCUCUGUCCCGGGUUUUACAGUGGCACGCAUCAGCUAGCAGGUCAUGGGUGCAAUCACAUCCCUGUCAACAGCGUAAUCUGCCUCUGCCUCACAUCUCCUGGACAGGCCUAAUUUAACAGGGAUGUUUUUUGGAACUAGCUAAUAAAUUGUUUGCUACGUGUGGUUAGCCAGCCCCGGUCUCAGCACUCCCAGCACCCCGGUGUGCAGCCUGUAGCUGUUUGCAGUAACCGGUCUCGGGGCUGUUUGGUAGCCUACGCUCGCAGGGCUCGGCUUGGGUGCAGUUCAUCUCUGGGGUGAUGAGCAGCUCCACUGCGAGUGGGGCUGGGGACGUCAGCCGGUGGGUUCGGGUGCUCUGGUUCACCAGUGUGUUGCGAUCGUGGCACCUUCCCAGGCUGGGCCACAGGCACGGGCCGUCUCGGGCAGCUCCUGUGCAGCCAGCCCCGCAGCGAGGGAUUGUGUCGGCUAUUGAUUGUUUUUUGUAUCCUUGGAAACUGAAAGGGCAUUAAAAUUGCAUGGUGCGUGCA